ACCGUUGGGCAUGAGCUUCACGACGAGCCGCGGGUAGGCGAUGUUGGAGCAGCCCACCUCCGUGCCGCACACGCGCCUGCACACCUCAGGCACCACGCACGCCACCUCGUCUGCCAGAGAGAGGCCACCGCGCCGUUAGGACGGGGCCUGGUCUGGGAAUCCCAGGAGGCGCAGCCCUAUACCCGCACCUGGUCGCUGCACCAGUACCAGCCCGAGACGAUUGUGAGUCCGAGGAGCAGCGCGGGCCACGGCAGAUCCCCGGUCACGGGGUGCCGGAGCAGGUGGUAGGAGUCGGGCCGGGGUCGAUAGCAGAAGCUGGAGAUGUUUCCCACGGCUGGAUCCUCGGACACCGUCAGCGAAGUCGCUGCUCCCAGGUAUUUGUCGAAGAGACCCGAAUACCCGCCCACCUCGUGGAAGGCUGCCGGGCAAGGCCGUCAGGGGACCCUCCUUAGGACCCUCAGACCGGAGACGCGCAACGGCCCCGCGCGCAGGCCGAGAGCUCCGCGACCAUGCCCUCCGCGCCCCUCCCUGGUAGGCGAGCCCCUACCGUAACCCAUGAGGAUGCAGGCGCCCCCCAGAAUGACGAAGGUCUGUACCGUGUCCGUGUACAUCAGCGCGGCCAGCCCUCCUGCAACAGGCCGGGGUCAGGGGACAGCCCAGCUGUUUAUGUUACAGGCUGGCCUUAGCAAUAAGGCGUCUUUGUGGGAAUUUGAAAGAGUUCCCCUUCCUGGAGAAUAAAUUUCAAAACGAUA
RNAcentral lists this long non-coding RNA (752 nucleotides) under Homo sapiens (human). RNAcentral describes it as "HSALNT0385381". Lineage: Eukaryota; Metazoa; Chordata; Mammalia; Primates; Hominidae. The record is from RNAcentral.